UGGGCAACCUGCCCUCAGCUCUGGGAUAACUCCGGGAAACCGGGGCUAAUACCGGAUACGACCUUCCCUCGCAUGGGGGUUGUUGGGAGGUUCUUCGGCUGAGGAUGGGCCCGCGGCCUAUCAGCUUGUUGGUGGGGUGAUGGCCUACCAAGGCGACGACGGGUAGCCGGCCUGAGAGGGCGACCGGCCACACUGGGACUGAGACACGGCCCAGACUCCGUACGGGAGGCA
RNAcentral lists this ribosomal RNA (231 nucleotides) under uncultured bacterium. RNAcentral's name for it is "partial 16S ribosomal RNA". It matches the Rfam family "Bacterial small subunit ribosomal RNA", at positions 118 to 350 of the family's 1533-position model. The record is from RNAcentral.